GGCGAGUAACACGUGGAUAACCUACCUAUAAGACUGGGAUAACUUCGGGAAACCGGAGCUAAUACCGGAUAAUAUUUUGAACCGCAUGGUUCAAAAGUGAAAGACGGUCUUGCUGUCACUUAUAGAUGGAUCCGCGCUGCAUUAGCUAGUUGGUAAGGUAACGGCUUACCAAGGCAACGAUGCAUAGCCGACCUGAGAGGGUGAUCGGCCACACUGGAACUGAGACACGGUCCAG
RNAcentral lists this ribosomal RNA (235 nucleotides) under uncultured Staphylococcus sp. RNAcentral's name for it is "partial 16S ribosomal RNA". It matches the Rfam family "Bacterial small subunit ribosomal RNA", at positions 105 to 334 of the family's 1533-position model. Lineage: Bacteria; Bacillati; Bacillota; Bacilli; Caryophanales; Staphylococcaceae. The record is from RNAcentral.